GACGAACGCUGGCGGCGUGCUUAACACAUGCAAGUCGAACGAGAGCGUAGAGAAAGCUUGCUUUUUCUACAAUCUAGUGGCAAACGGGUGAGUAACGCGUAAACAACCUGCCCUACGGAUGGGGACAACAGCUGGAAACGGCUGCUAAUACCGAAUACGUUCCGAAAGUCGCAUGACUAUCGGAAGAAAGGAUGGCCUCUAUUUAUAAGCUAUCGCCGGAGGAGGGGUUUGCGUCUGAUUAGCUAGUUGGAGGGGUAACGGCCCACCAAGGCGACGAUCAGUAGCCGGUCUGAGAGGAUGAACGGCCACAUUGGAACUGAGACACGGUCCAGACUCCUACGGGAGGCAGCAGGGGGGAAUCUUCCGCAAUGGGCGAAAGCCUGACGGAGCAACGCCGCGUGAGUGAAGACGGCCUUCGGGUUGUAAAGCUCUGUUAUACGGGACGAAUAAUCUUGUGGUUAAUACCCAUGAGAAGUGACGGUACCGUAAGAGAAAGCCACGGCUAACUACGUG
RNAcentral lists this ribosomal RNA (513 nucleotides) under uncultured bacterium. RNAcentral's name for it is "partial 16S ribosomal RNA". It matches the Rfam family "Bacterial small subunit ribosomal RNA", at positions 28 to 507 of the family's 1533-position model. The record is from RNAcentral.